This 270-nucleotide ribosomal RNA is filed under the name uncultured archaeon. RNAcentral describes it as "partial 16S ribosomal RNA". It matches the Rfam family "Archaeal small subunit ribosomal RNA", at positions 477 to 747 of the family's 1478-position model. The record is from RNAcentral.
CUGCAGCUCGAGUGGUGGCCACUAUUAUUGGGCCUAAAACGUCCGUAGCCGGUCUUGUAAAUGCCUGGGUAAAUCGUACGGCUUAACCGUACGAACUCCGGGUAGACUGCAAAACUUGAGACCGGGAGAGGUUAGAGGUACUCCUGGGGUAGAGGUGAAAUUCUGUAAUCCUAGGGGGACCACCAGUGGCGAAGGCGUCUAACUAGAACGGGUCUGACGGUGAGGGACGAAGCCCUGGGGCGCAAACCGGAUUAGAUACCCGAGUAGUCC